Molecule: ribosomal RNA, 409 nt
Filed under: uncultured microorganism
Description: bacterial SSU rRNA
Rfam family: Bacterial small subunit ribosomal RNA
Source: RNAcentral
CAGCCGCCGCGGUAAUACGUAGGUGGCAAGCGUUGUCCGGAAUCAUUGGGCGUAAAGCGCGCGCAGGCGGUCCUUUAAGUCUGAUGUGAAAUCUUGCGGCUCAACCGUAAGCGGUCAUUGGAAACUGGGGGACUUGAGUGCAGGAGAGGAAAGCGGAAUUCCAUGUGUAGCGGUGAAAUGCGUAGAGAUAUGGAGGAACACCAGUGGCGAAGGCGGCUUUCUGGCCUGUAACUGACGCUGAGGCGCGAAAGCGUGGGAGCAAACAGGAUUAGAUACCCUGGUAGUCCACGCCGUAAACGAUGAGUGCUAAGUGUUGGAGGGUUUACGCCCUUCAGUGCUGCAGCUAACGCAUUAAGCACUCCGCCUGGGGAGUACGGUCGCAAGACUGAAACUUAAAGGAAUUGGCGGG